GUGGGGAAUCUUCCGCAAUGGACGAAAGUCUGACGGAGCGACGCCGCGUGAGUGAAGAAGGCCUUCGGGUCGUAAAGCUCUGUCAUCAGGGACGAACGGCCGGUGGAGUGGAAAGCCACCGGAUUGACGGUACCUGAGAAGGAAGCCACGGCUAACUACGUGCCAGCAGCCGCGGGAAUACGUAGGUGGCAAGCGUUGUCCGGAAUUAUUGGGCGUAAAGCGCGCGCAGGUGGGAUCUUAAGUCCAUUUUUAAAGUUCGGAGCUCAACUCCGUGAUGGGAUAGAAACUGGGAGUCUUGAGUACCGGAGAGGAAAGCGGAAUUCCCCGUGUAGCGGUGAAAUGCGUAGAUAUGGGGAGGAACACCAGUGGCGAAGGCGGCUUUCUGGACGGUGUCUGACACUGAGGCGCGAAAGCCAGGGGAGCGAACGGGAUUAGAAACCCCGGUAGUCC
RNAcentral lists this ribosomal RNA (450 nucleotides) under uncultured bacterium. Its description in RNAcentral is "partial 16S ribosomal RNA". It matches the Rfam family "Bacterial small subunit ribosomal RNA", at positions 354 to 796 of the family's 1533-position model. The record is from RNAcentral.